UGGGGAUGGACGUGGUUGUCAAGAUGACUUAGAUGCACGUGCUGAUGGAAGACCACGAUGGACGAGCUGAUGGGAUGAUUAAGAUGCAUCAAGCUAGCUGAAAUGGAUAGGAUGGACUAAUUGACGGGAUGGUUGAAAUGAACCGAAUUGACAGAAUGGUCAAGAUGACAAGCUGGCUGGGAUGAAUGAGAUAAAUGGGAUGAACAGACUGACGACUGGACUGUGCUAACGAAAAGGACAAGAUGGACGUUAGACAAGUUGACGUGAUAGGCGGAACGAACAGGCUAGUUGAACUUAUGGAAUGAUAGGAAUGGACAAGAUGAAGAAGUUAAGGGAAUGACCGAGAUGAAUUGGGCUGAUGGGAUGAGUGGGAUAAAUGGGCUAACAGGAUGAGCGGGUUAGAUGAGCUAGCGGGAUGGACAGGUUGUCCUCGUUGUCAGGAUGGACCGGGCUGGUCGGGAUAGACAAGCUGACGGGAUGACUGGGCUAGUCGGGGUGACAAGAUGACCUUUUUAGACGAGGUGGACAAACUAAUGUGAUGGUCGUGAUGGAUCGUAUUGGCUGGGAUGGACAAGAUGACGAGAUGACCUCGAUGAAUCGGGAUGACUAAAAUGGACAGACUGACGGAGUGACUAGGAUGAACGGUAUGGCCUGACUGAUGGAAUGGUCGGGAUGAAUAGGGUGACGUGAUAGUCAAACUUGCUGGGAUGGACAUGCUUGCCAAGAUGUUUGUGAUGGACUAGACUGACAGGAUUGUUGGACUAAUCUAGUUGACAUAAUGAUGGAUGGGGUGACCAAACUCGUCGGACUGACUGAACUUACAAAUAUUAAACUUAGUUAUACGAAAUAUAUUUGGUUAAAACCCUUAGAUGGUAUUCAUAUUUGUAUUGGAGUCUUAGUUCGGUUUUCAUAUUUUAAGUAAUCUCAAUUGAGUCCUUAUUUUUUUAAAAUGUGAUGCAAUUUAGUGUCAUGUGUCAGUGGUUUUUUUAAUUUCUAAAAGAAAUUAUUUGUAUUUUAAAAUUGUGCCACAUGUCAAAUAAGAAUCCAGUCAUGUGCCAGAGAUAGUGUGUGAUGUGGUAGAGAUAGUGUGACAUGACAAUGACAGUGUCACGUGUCACU
This 1119-nucleotide long non-coding RNA is filed under the name Vigna radiata. RNAcentral's name for it is "long non-coding RNA (VRAD_LNC009103)". The record is from RNAcentral. Lineage: Eukaryota; Viridiplantae; Streptophyta; Magnoliopsida; Fabales; Fabaceae.